This 370-nucleotide ribosomal RNA is filed under the name uncultured prokaryote. Its description in RNAcentral is "bacterial SSU rRNA". It matches the Rfam family "Bacterial small subunit ribosomal RNA", at positions 524 to 896 of the family's 1533-position model. The record is from RNAcentral.
UACGUAGGUGGCAAGCGUUGUCCGGAUUUAUUGGGUUUAAAGGGUGCGUAGGCGGUCCUAUAAGUCAGUGGUGAAAUACAUCCGCUCAACGGUUGAGGUGCCAUUGAUACUGCAGGACUUGAGUACAGACGAGGUAGGCGGAAUUGACGGUGUAGCGGUGAAAUGCAUAGAUAUCGUCAAGAACACCGAUAGCGAAGGCAGCUUACUAGACUGUAACUGACGCUGAGGCACGAAAGUGUGGGGAUCAAACAGGAUUAGAUACCCUGGUAGUCCACACUGUAAACGAUGAUUACUCGAUGUUGGCGAUACACGUCCAGCGUCUUAGCAAAAGCGAUAAGUAAUCCACCUGGGGAGUACGCCGGCAACGGUG